UUUUAAAUUUGGUGUUUUCAAAUUUAAUUCAAAUUGGGUAAAGAGUAAGUUCAAGCUUGGAUUUUAUAAGUCAUGUUUUUAAAUUUAGUGAUCUCUAUAUAUGAAGAUUGGAUUGAUUAUAGAAACUUAAAAUUAGUUAAAGUGGCGGAGUAAGGAAAGGGGUGAUAAGCUUCGAAAAUUUUUCGUUUAUGUUUCUUUUUUAGUUUAUAAAAUUUUAAAUUAAUAAUGAUAAGAUUACACUUUGGCCCUUCAAAAUGAUAAAAAUCUAAUUUAAUCCUUUAAAAUUAUAAAAUUAUAGACUAUUAAGAUAACAAAUGUAAUAGGCCCAAUUUGCCCUGGCCUGAUACAGAUAUUAAAAACCAAUAAUAAGCAAUCCAAUCCAAUAAUGUCAAUCCAAUUACAAAAGCCUAAUACACUUUUCAAGCCCGAUUACAGACCCAUAUACAUGGCCCAAAUCACUAACCCAAAAGACCCCACUAAAACCCAAACCCACUAGCCUAGAAACCUUUAGCCCAAUGAGCCCAAAACGCAAAACAGGAGCAAGGAACCCUAGCAGCUUCCAGCGCCGUUCUCCCCAGCCACGCACGCCUCCGUACAGCCUUCCCUCGCACGUACGCCACUGCCACCUUGACCCAGCCUCACGCGAGCCUCCACAUCACUGCACCUGACACCGUACUCGUACCUGCACUCGCAACAAACGCCUGCAAAACAAGCAGAGACAGAACGCAAAAGAAAAAGGAGAAUAGCAGAAAAAUAGGAGAAAAAAUGAUGUAUUUUUUUAUUUUAUUUUCGAUUCGGCUAUAAAGCCAUUUUGAGAAUCAACACACAGCGACAGAGAUUGUAAAAACAAACUCAGAAAAAAAUAUCAAUACAACAAAGGUUUUUUUUCUCUCUUGGCGAUUCUGUUUUUUUUUUUUUUUUUAUCGUUCUUCUUUCUUUCGUUCUUUGUUUUGUUAUUAAUACAUACAUAAGCAUAUAUAAAAUAAAAAGAAACAGGGGAGAGACUCACCUUCCGGUUUGAGGCCGCCGGACCUCGCUCGCUUCGUCGAAAUCGAAAUUCGAGAGGGGGUGCAUCAGGGUUGCGGCGGAGAGAAAAGGAGAUCCUUUUUCUGUCUUUUAGAAUGGUUUAGGGUUUAUUUCCUUUUUCUUUUUCUUUUUCAUUUAUGCCUGAAUGACUCUUAUCUAG
RNAcentral lists this long non-coding RNA (1186 nucleotides) under Gossypium barbadense (sea-island cotton). Its description in RNAcentral is "long non-coding RNA (GBAR_LNC021812)". Lineage: Eukaryota; Viridiplantae; Streptophyta; Magnoliopsida; Malvales; Malvaceae. The record is from RNAcentral.